Thunnus maccoyii (southern bluefin tuna) is the source of this 3502-nucleotide long non-coding RNA. RefSeq lists it as uncharacterized. The record is from RefSeq and is a predicted model, not a curated record. NCBI's taxonomy places the organism in Eukaryota, Metazoa, Chordata, Actinopteri, Scombriformes, Scombridae. The transcript has 5 exons.
AUAUAAUAUGUUCCCAACAUACUGGUGAGUAAACAAAACUUAAGGAAAAACUUCUGCUCUUCCACAAUCUUCAUUUAUGACGAUUUAAUCUUUUAAUUGCUCAUUUUAUUGAAGCAGUUAAAAGUCCAAUCUUCCGUCUUUAUAUUUUACAUUGAUAAUCAUAUUUCCAUGUUCUGUCAACGCCUCAGGUGCGACCAAUUUAGGCUUUAAUUAAGAGUCAGCGGCGCGUGCGUAUUUUAGGUGUUUUUAUUUUGAGCUGCGUCACCACAAGAGGGAGCAAAAUGGAAACAGAAGAUUUCACGCAACAUUAAUUUUAGGGGAAGACCCCACAGUAUGGCGCCUACUGUAUGCCCGCGUUUGGUGUAUUUAAUGUCAAUAUUAUUAACUUUCUCCAAACACUGUGACACAGUUUCACCUGGCUGGAGCUGCACGGAGAAACAGAGUGGUGACCCUCUGAUGACCCUGCAUGGUGUGAAAGACGUCACAUAGGAGUGGCUAUAAACCCAUGUUCUGGAAGUUGACUGUUGACCACAGGUGACGGUGCAGCUCUGGAAAACUACCGGCAUGUUGUCACCCAAGCUCAGACGACGCCUCCAUGCUUGAGCUCAAGCAGACAUCCCGCAGGGAGCGGAUAGCGGUGGAGAUGGAGGGAGGACGUUUUUAAGCACUUCAAAGUGGCCUCAUUCCACACAGCUGAGCUCAGAGGAGAAAAUGGAAAUAGCCAACAUUGAACCGACGCAGUCAAUACCACUCUCCAGAAAAGGGCUGAGAGGGACGCUCUCUGCCACAGAGCAAGACUGAUGGAGGGAGGAGUGGGCGAUAGCCGGAGUAUGUCAGGUUUCAUCUGCCCUGUGUGACACACAGCUCUCUGACAGCUCUGCUACACUUGAUCUAGUCUGAAAACUAUCUCUCUCAUGCUCGCACAUGCUCUUUCUCUCCUCAUAUUUUCCUCUCUUUCUAUCAUGUACACACUCUUUCUUUUCCUUUCUUUCCACUUCUCACUCUAUCUUUAUCAGUCUCUUACCCCCUCUGGGCUGCCAUUUUGCAGCAUAUGGCUCCCCCACUCAAGUGUUCACACAUGCACCGCCAUAUGUGUUUGCUCAUGCACCCUCACAUGCACUUUCUCUUCUCCUGUUUAUUCGCUCUUCUUCCUUCUCUGUGUGUCUUUAUUAAAAUAGCACCUAGCCAACUCAUUCACAUUUAGAUGAGGUAAUUAUGAAAAAGCAACAAGAUGGAGAGGAGGGGAUGUGAUUGGAAGGAUGAUUUUAAUUUAUCUAGGAGAAAACAAGCAAGUAAAAUAAGUGAAGAACACACUCUCUCUAACUACCAUCACGAUGUCACUGAGUUAGGCUUUCGGUUAACAAGGCUAGACUGGGGAAUCAUCUCUGUCUUUUGUUGUUUCCACUGACCUCUAGAUUGGCUGAACUGGCUGUCAGUCAGGGAUUCAUAAGCUGUCAGUCACUGUGAAAUCUCACAUCUCCACAUGUAAUUUGAUUUGAUUUGUCGACGUCUUUCACUUUCUCUGCCCAUUUUUGUUAGACAAGUCGAACAUUCAGUUACAGGCCUUGCAGUUUGGUCAUUCAAGCUCCAGGUGUUCCAGCAGACUGGUUUGAUGAAACACUGGUUGUACUGAGCAAGUAUGAAUGCAUGUAACCAUGUGUGUGAAGCAGAGCAUUGUGCUGAAACAUGCUUUGUUAAAGUAACAUGUGUCUCGCAUUGAGGUGUUGCCUGGCAUGUUCGCUCACCAAGGUGCUGAUGUACACAUUUCCAAAAUCUGAAACACAUGUAAAACAUAUCACACUGACAGUUGAUGUUGUCCCUGCACAUGACCCAUACAGCCUACAAGUUUUAUGGUAUAGACAAAGGUUGUGGUCUUUUUCUCAAUGGGAUAGGCUUAUGAAAGUUACAAUCCAGAACAAAAGGGAUUAACACGGUGAGAGAUCCAGAGAGAUGGAAAUACAAAAUGAAGUCAUUUAUUAACUGCAGUAGAACUCACAGUAUCUCAGCUGCAUGGUAAAUAACAACUAAAUCAACAGAGGAUUGUAGAUGUGGUGGGAGGAGGAGCACCAAUGAUGUAAGUUUCCCUGUUGCUCCUGAAUGUGACUUAAUUUAUUAAUUUCCUGCAUGAUUCUGGUCAUUUACAUAUGGAAAACAUAGAGCAUAUACUUAAAAAAAUUUUGUAUGUGACAUUUAUAAACCAGAACAACCAAAAUGUCUUCUGCUCAUCUAAAAUCCAAACCACCAAGAGGAGGCCAAAGCCUUGCAUUUUCCUGGGUCAACUACUGAACAAGUGGUUGAGGCUAAUGUAGAUAACACACUCAAUGCCGAACUUUUGCAAACUAUGAUGGUCUCCCUGAAAGCAGACAUCUUUGUGAAAAUUGAGUCUUUCUCUUCCAGUCUCGAGAUUUCCUCUGUCUGAAAAGAACUACAAGAAUUUGAUAGAACCAUUGCAAGAAAAGGUCGAACAACACGGGCAAACUAAGCUAGAACUUGAGCUAGCAGCUACAGAUCGUAGCAACAGUUAGUUAGUUUCAUUUGCAAUGUGAUUGUAUGUCGGGCCGGGGAACACGCUCCUCUCCUCUACCGGUAUAAGAGGAUUUACAUCUUUGCUGACUACACAUCCACUGUCGCUAAAAAGCAGGCUGCUUUUUGCAAUGUUCGGCGUCAGCUCUACUCAUGUCCGUGCAUCAAGUCUGGGCUGCUGUACACGGCAGUACUCAGAAUCACCCUGUUGAGCAGAGACACGCACUGGUUUGAAGAUCCUGCCACUGCAAGUGACUUCAUCAACAAAAGCUUCAAGAAAGCAGUCACUCCAAGUCAUGUGUGAAGAGACAUAGGUGAGUUAGCAGAGCUGGCUGACCUAGCCUAUACUCGUUUGUUACCUUGACUUGGACUACAUUUCCCACUAAGUCAUUGUUGCUUUCUGUACGAAUGGAUGACUUCCCUAAUAUGGAAAUUUAUUGGUAUCCUGUUACUGCGGCUCUGUUAAUUUCAUACAUGUUUACAAUUGUUUGAUACUGUCACAAUUAUCUGUUAGGUAGCUCUAGUUGUCUGUGAUGGUGAUGGCUACAGUGGAGUGUUUAGCACGUUUAAUGGACAUGUCUCAUUUGGGGAGACACUUCUGUCAAGGUGGGAGGGGGUAACACAGUUUGUUUACCACAAAGAGUUGUUUUAUUUUGUGUUUUUUGUUUGUAUUUUGUGUGUCUGCUUGGUCUAUCAAUAUUGAAUACGUUCAUUAGAUACUCUUAUUCACUGGUAUGUCUAUCAUGCUUCAUUCCUUGCCUCUUAAGAUGUUUCUAUGGCUUCACCUAAAUUAACACAGUAAGAUGGAAGUGUGCAAAUAUUUUGUAGCUGUAAUUGUAGAGGCCUUAAUAAUCCUGUCAAGCUCAGCAGAGUCUACUGCCCCAUCUCCAACACUAUGGUGUCCAGAUAAUUUAUGUACAAGAAACUCAUCUUAGAGUUUCUGAUCAGACCAGAUUAAAAAGUAGUUACAUUGACCAUA